AUCCUCCGAGUCUACCAGCACUCUAAUGAAGUUCAGGUAUUCAGGGAUUAGCUCCUCACAGUUAUCCGUGAUGAAAACUCUGCAUACAUACAAUUUGAUAUUGUUCUUUUUCUUUCUGUUUUCAAACAGGUCAAAAGGAGCACAUCAUGGGAAAAUAGAAGGGCUCUGUAUUCCAACUGUCCUUCAACUGAAAAAUGCUUCACUGACAAGUGAUCUUCCCAGUCAUUAGUCAAGCUCUUGUAGAAUUCUCUGUACUCCUCAUUAGUAAUAUCAUCUGGAUUUCUGGUCCAGAUGGGCUUUGUUUUGUUGAGUUCUUCUUGAUCAAUGUACUUUUCCUAAUCUUCUUCUUCUUCUGCUUGUCACCAUCCUUCUUUUCUUCUUCUUCCUCAGCAGAACCAACAUCUUCAAUUUCAGGUUUGUCUUCGGAUUCUUUCUCUUUUUUUGAUGUUUAGAAAAUUAUUUGUUACAUCUUGUAGGACCUACUUUUUGAACUUUUCAUCCCCUGUAGUUGCCAAUUCUGCAUGUACUAGUCCUCUAGAAAUAGGUUAAACUGAAGCAACUUGAUGGAAGGAAUUCUCCACAGGGCUUGUUUUCCAAAGAAAAGUAUUAUUUGGAGGAGAAAAGUUAUAAGCCUACCUAAGCAUAUCAUAAAGCUGUUCAAAAAUAACUCAGACCCAGUCUUGUGGAUGGAAAUGUAGUGCUUGAGUCACAUUCUGCUUAAAGUUGUAACAGAUACAGAUGAGUUAAAAGAAAAAAAAAUCCAUCAGUCUUCUUUGGUCCUGGCUGGUGUGCAUCCCGUUUCAAUCUGGCUAUUUUAUUCUUU
This 823-nucleotide long non-coding RNA is filed under the name Homo sapiens (human). RNAcentral's name for it is "non-protein coding lnc-CLCN3-11:1". Lineage: Eukaryota; Metazoa; Chordata; Mammalia; Primates; Hominidae. The record is from RNAcentral.